Molecule: small RNA, 131 nt
Filed under: Escherichia coli
Lineage: Bacteria; Pseudomonadati; Pseudomonadota; Gammaproteobacteria; Enterobacterales; Enterobacteriaceae
Also listed under: 1 other name
Description: RtT sRNA
Rfam family: RtT RNA
About the family: This family represents a bacterial cis-regulatory element known as RtT RNA.
Source: RNAcentral
AUUCUGCCCAUGCGGGGAAGGAUGAGAAGCUUCGACCAAGGUUCGAUUCGAGGCCAGCGAGAGAGCGUUGCCGCAGGCAACGACCCGUAGGGCGAAGCGCGCAGCGCUGAGUAAUCCUUCCCCCACCACCA